Molecule: ribosomal RNA, 253 nt
Filed under: Blautia luti
Lineage: Bacteria; Bacillati; Bacillota; Clostridia; Lachnospirales; Lachnospiraceae
Description: partial 16S ribosomal RNA
Rfam family: Bacterial small subunit ribosomal RNA
Source: RNAcentral
UACGUAGGGGGCAAGCGUUAUCCGGAUUUACUGGGUGUAAAGGGAGCGUAGACGGAUGGACAAGUCUGAUGUGAAAGGCUGGGGCUCAACCCCGGGACUGCAUUGGAAACUGCCCGUCUUGAGUGCCGGAGAGGUAAGCGGAAUUCCUAGUGUAGCGGUGAAAUGCGUAGAUAUUAGGAGGAACACCAGUGGCGAAGGCAGCUUACUGGACGGUAACUGACGUUGAGGCUCGAAAGCGUGGGGAGCAAACAGG